UCCACAGCACUGCUGUCAAUGGUAGGAAU
Molecule: non-coding RNA, 29 nt
Filed under: Macaca fascicularis (crab-eating macaque)
Lineage: Eukaryota; Metazoa; Chordata; Mammalia; Primates; Cercopithecidae
Also listed under: 1 other name
Source: RNAcentral